GACGAACGCUGGCGGCGUGCUUAACACAUGCAAGUCGAACGGAAAGGCCCUGCUUUUGUGGGGUGCUCGAGUGGCGAACGGGUGAGUAACACGUGAGUAACCUGCCCUUGACUUUGGGAUAACUUCAGGAAACUGGGGCUAAUACCGGAUAGGAGCUCCUGCUGCAUGGUGGGGGUUGGAAAGUUUCGGCGGUUGGGGAUGGACUCGCGGCUUAUCAGCUUGUUGGUGGGGUAGUGGCUUACCAAGGCUUUGACGGGUAGCCGGCCUGAGAGGGUGAACGGCCACAUUGGGACUGAGGUACGGACCAGACUCCUACGGGAGGCAGCAGUGGGGAGUAUUGCACAAUGGGCGGAAGCCUGAUGCAGCAACGCCGCGUGCGGGAUGACGGCCUUCGGGUUGUAAACCGCUUUCGCCUGUGACGAAGCGUGAGUGACGGUAAUGGGUAAAGAAGCACCGGCUAACUACGUG
This 468-nucleotide ribosomal RNA is filed under the name uncultured bacterium. Its description in RNAcentral is "partial 16S ribosomal RNA". It matches the Rfam family "Bacterial small subunit ribosomal RNA", at positions 28 to 507 of the family's 1533-position model. The record is from RNAcentral.